AUACUUACCUGGCAGAGCAAAUAUCCAGAUUGAGGUGGUAUUUUUCUUAGUGGGAAGCUAAUCCAUUGCACUGUGGACAUGCUGACCCCAGCCAUUCCCCCAGAUGUUGGGAGCAAGAGGGCAUAGUCGGUGGUAGUUAGGAAGUGCAUUUGCGCUUUCCUCA
This 163-nucleotide small nuclear RNA is filed under the name Loxodonta africana (African savanna elephant). RNAcentral describes it as "U1 spliceosomal RNA (ENSLAFG00000028171.1)". It matches the Rfam family "U1 spliceosomal RNA". Rfam says of the family: U1 is a small nuclear RNA (snRNA) component of the spliceosome (involved in pre-mRNA splicing). Its 5' end forms complementary base pairs with the 5' splice junction, thus defining the 5' donor site of an intron. The record is from RNAcentral. Lineage: Eukaryota; Metazoa; Chordata; Mammalia; Proboscidea; Elephantidae.